AUUGAACGCUGGCGGCAUGCCUUACACAUGCAAGUCGAACGGCAGCACGGGAGCAAUCCUGGUGGCGAGUGGCGAACGGGUGAGUAAAGUAUCGGAACGUGCCCAGUCGUGGGGGAUCACGUAGCGAAAGUUACGCUAAUACCGCAUACGAUCUAUGGAUGAAAGCGGGGGAUCGCAAGACCUCGCGCGAUUGGAGCGGCCGAUAUCAGAUUAGGUAGUUGGUGGGGUAAAGGCUCACCAAGCCGACGAUCUGUAGCUGGUCUGAGAGGACGACCAGCCACACUGGGACUGAGACACGGCCCAGACUCCUACGGGAGGCAGCAGUGGGGAAUUUUGGACAAUGGGCGCAAGCCUGAUCCAGCCAUGCCGCGUGCAGGAUGAAGGCCCUCGGGUUGUAAACUGCUUUUGUACGGAACGAAAAGGUUUGGCUUAAUACGUUGAACUCAUGACGGUACCGUAAGAAUAAGCACCGGCUAACUACGUGCCAGCAGCCGCCGUAA
This 500-nucleotide ribosomal RNA is filed under the name uncultured bacterium. RNAcentral's name for it is "partial 16S ribosomal RNA". It matches the Rfam family "Bacterial small subunit ribosomal RNA", at positions 30 to 523 of the family's 1533-position model. The record is from RNAcentral.